RNAcentral lists this ribosomal RNA (670 nucleotides) under Streptomyces sp. 359(2010). Its description in RNAcentral is "bacterial SSU rRNA". It matches the Rfam family "Bacterial small subunit ribosomal RNA", at positions 87 to 770 of the family's 1533-position model. Lineage: Bacteria; Bacillati; Actinomycetota; Actinomycetes; Kitasatosporales; Streptomycetaceae. The record is from RNAcentral.
GUGGAUUAGUGGCGAACGGGUGAGUAACACNUGGGCAAUCUGCCCUGCACUCUGGGACAAGCCCUGGAAACGGGGUCUAAUACCGGAUAUGAUCACCGGCCGCAUGGUCUGGUGGUGGAAAGCUCCGGCGGUGCAGGAUGAGCCCGCGGCCUAUCAGCUUGUUGGUGGGGUGAUGGCCUACCAAGGCGACGACGGGUAGCCGGCCUGAGAGGGCGACCGGCCACACUGGGACUGAGACACGGCCCAGACUCCUACGGGAGGCAGCAGUGGGGAAUAUUGCACAAUGGGCGAAAGCCUGAUGCAGCGACGCCGCGUGAGGGAUGACGGCCUUCGGGUUGUAAACCUCUUUCAGCAGGGAAGAAGCGAGAGUGACGGUACCUGCAGAAGAAGCGCCGGCUAACUACGUGCCAGCAGCCGCGGUAAUACGUAGGGCGCAAGCGUUGUCCGGAAUUAUUGGGCGUAAAGAGCUCGUAGGCGGCUUGUCACGUCGGAUGUGAAAGCCCGGGGCUUAACCCCGGGUCUGCAUUCGAUACGGGCAGGCUAGAGUUCGGUAGGGGAGAUCGGAAUUCCUGGUGUAGCGGUGAAAUGCGCAGAUAUCAGGAGGAACACCGGUGGCGAANGCGGAUCUCUGGGCCGAUACUGACGCUNAGGAGCGAAAGCNUGGGGAGCG